RNAcentral lists this ribosomal RNA (253 nucleotides) under uncultured bacterium. Its description in RNAcentral is "partial 16S ribosomal RNA". It matches the Rfam family "Bacterial small subunit ribosomal RNA", at positions 524 to 776 of the family's 1533-position model. The record is from RNAcentral.
UACGUAGGGGGCUAGCGUUGUCCGGAAUCAUUGGGCGUAAAGAGCGUGUAGGCGGUCCGGUAAGUCCGCUGUGAAAGUCGGGGGCUCAACCCUCGAAUGCCGGUGGAUACUGUCGGGCUAGAGUGCGGAAGAGGCGAGUGGAAUUCCUGGUGUAGCGGUGAAAUGCGCAGAUAUCAGGAGGAACACCGAUUGCGAAGGCAGCUCGCUGGGACGUAACUGACGCUGAGACGCGAAAGCGUGGGGAGCAAACGGG